RNAcentral lists this transfer RNA (72 nucleotides) under Ovis aries (sheep). It matches the Rfam family "tRNA". Rfam says of the family: Transfer RNA (tRNA) molecules are approximately 80 nucleotides in length. Their secondary structure includes four short double-helical elements and three loops (D, anti-codon, and T loops). The record is from Rfam by way of RNAcentral. Lineage: Eukaryota; Metazoa; Chordata; Mammalia; Artiodactyla; Bovidae.
UCCCUGGUGGCUCAGAGGGUAGAGUAUCUGCCCAAAAUGUGGGAAACCCAGGUUCAAUCCCUGGGUUGGGAA